GUUGUAUGGUUAAGUGACUAAGCGUACACGGUGGAUGCCUUGGCAGUCAGAGGCGAUGAAAGACGUAGUAACUUGCGAUAAGCCCAGAUUAGGUAGUAACUGGCAGUCAGAGGCGAUGAAAGACGUAGUAACUUGCGAUAAGCCCAGAUUAGGUAGUAACAACCAUUUGAGUCUGGGAUUUCUGAAUGGGGAAACCCACUUACAUAAGUAAGUAUCAUUAACUGAAUACAUAGGUUAAUGAGGCGAACCGGGGGAACUGAAACAUCUAAGUACCCCGAGGAAAAGAAAUCAACCGAGAUUCCGAAAGUAGCGGCGAGCGAAAUUGGACUAGCCCUUAA
This 338-nucleotide ribosomal RNA is filed under the name Vibrio parahaemolyticus. RNAcentral's name for it is "partial 23S ribosomal RNA". It matches the Rfam family "Bacterial large subunit ribosomal RNA", at positions 1 to 274 of the family's 2925-position model. The record is from RNAcentral. Lineage: Bacteria; Pseudomonadati; Pseudomonadota; Gammaproteobacteria; Vibrionales; Vibrionaceae.